GAUGAUUCUAAUACUUUUUCUUUCAUCUAGCACAGUUGGCACCUUUAUAAAGAUCUAGAAAUCCGUGUGUUGUACAUAAAUCUGGAGCUGUUGUUACUGCAGAUGUACCUUCCACAACUUGAUUUUCUGUGAUGUCAAUUAUUCAGACCUCCUCAAGAAUUGGAAUAUUAUCAAGAACAUGGAUACUCAAAAGUCAGUUCUGUGCCCUGUAAAGAAGAAUUUGAGGAGCUUAAAUAGCCUGCUGCUUUGAUCUCAUCUGUCCCUUAGGUUCUCUAAACAGAUUUUAUGACUUUCAAAUUUGGGUAUUUCAAUAGACGUUUCUAGUUUUUGUUACAUCAUCUUUGAAAAAUGCUUGCAAGAUGAAUAAAUUUACAUUCAGC
Molecule: long non-coding RNA, 380 nt
Filed under: Macaca mulatta (Rhesus monkey)
Lineage: Eukaryota; Metazoa; Chordata; Mammalia; Primates; Cercopithecidae
Description: lncRNA (ENSMMUG00000050338.1)
Source: RNAcentral